AGCAUGUCUAUCAGUGGGGGGAGGAAAAGUAACCAAGCUUGCUUCAGUCAGGAAGAGUGAAGAGGGAAAGGCAAGCCCAAGUAAUUUGUAAUCUGGCUCUUUCAGAGUCCGAGUUGUAAUUUUGAGAGAUCUGUUUUCAGUGCUGGACCAUUUCAUAAGUCUGUUGAAAAAUAGCAUCAUUGAGGGUGAUAAUCCCGUUCAUGAUAUGGACUACCAGUGCAAUCAUGAUACAGUCUGUCUAAGAGUCGAGUUGUUUGGGAAUGCAGCUCAGAAGUGGGUGGUAAAUUACUUCCAUCUAAGGCUAAAUAUAGGUGAGAGACCGAUAGCAUAACAAGUACACGUAGAGGGAAAGAUGAAAAGAACUUUGGAAAGAAAGAGAAUUAAAAGUAACGUGAAAUUGUUGUAAGAGAAACAUUUGAAGUUAGCCUUGCUGCUGUGUUAGUUCAGCUCUAGUUAACUAGGGUGUAUUCUAGACAAUGACUCGGACGGACCAACAUCAGUUUUUGGGUGCUGGAUAAGGGUGCUUGGAAAUGUAGCAGCCUUGCGCUGUGUUAUAGUCUAUGAUUUAGAUACUAGUGCCUGGGACUGAGGAAUAUUUGCAGCAAGACAGCAGUCACAUGGCUGCCCUUUUUUUAC
Molecule: ribosomal RNA, 636 nt
Filed under: Phragmidium potentillae-freynianae
Lineage: Eukaryota; Fungi; Basidiomycota; Pucciniomycetes; Pucciniales; Phragmidiaceae
Description: Phragmidium sp. JS-2021c partial large subunit ribosomal RNA
Rfam family: Eukaryotic large subunit ribosomal RNA
Source: RNAcentral